AGAGUCUGAUCAUGGCUCAGAUUGAACGCUGGCGGCAGGCCUAACACAUGCAAGUCGAACGGUAACAGGAAGCAGCUUGCUGCUUCGCUGACGAGUGGCGGACGGGUGAGUAAUGUCUGGGAAGCUGCCUGAUGGAGGGGGAUAACUACUGGAAACGGUAGCUAAUACCGCAUGAUGUCGCAAGACCAAAGAGGGGGACCUUCGGGCCUCUUGCCAUCGGAUGUGCCCAGAUGGGAUUAGCUUGUUGGUGGGGUAACGGCUCACCAAGGCGACGAUCCCUAGCUGGUCUGAGAGGAUGACCAGCCACACUGGAACUGAGACACGGUCCAGACUCCUACGGGAGGCAGCAGUGGGGAAUAUUGCACAAUGGGCGCAAGCCUGAUGCAGCCAUGCCGCGUGUAUGAAGAAGGCCUUCGGGUUGUAAAGUACUUUCAGCGGGGAGGAAGGGAGUAAAGUUAAUACCUUUGCUCAUUGACGUUACCCGCAGAAGAAGCACCGGCUAACUCCGUGCCAGCAGCCGCGGUAAUACGGAGGGUGCAAGCGUUAAUCGGAAUUACUGGGCGUAAAGCGCACGCAGGCGGUUUGUUAAGUCGGAUGUGAAAUCCCCGGGCUCAACCUGGGAACUGCAUCUGAUACUGGCAAGCUUGAGUCUCGUAGAGGGGGGUAGAAUUCCAGGUGUAGCGGUGAAAUGCGUAGAGAUCUGGAGGAAUACCGGUGGCGAAGGCGGCCCCCUGGACGAAGACUGACGCUCAGGUGCGAAAGCGUGGGGAGCAAACAGGAUUAGAUACCCUGGUAGUCCACGCCGUAAACGAUGUCGACUUGGAGGUUGUGCCCUUGAGGCGUGGCUUCCGGAGCUAACGCGUUAAGUCGACCGCCUGGGGAGUACGGCCGCAAGGUUAAAACUCAAAUGAAUUGACGGGGGCCCGCACAAGCGGUGGAGCAUGUGGUUUAAUUCGAUGCAACGCGAAGAACCUUACCUGGUCUUGACAUCCACGGAAGUUUUCAGAGAUGAGAAUGUGCCUUCGGGAACCGUGAGACAGGUGCUGCAUGGCUGUCGUCAGCUCGUGUUGUGAAAUGUUGGGUUAAGUCCCGCAACGAGCGCAACCCUUAUCCUUUGUUGCCAGCGGUCCGGCCGGGAACUCAAAGGAGACUGCCAGUGAUAAACUGGAGGAAGGUGGGGAUGACGUCAAGUCAUCAUGGCCCUUACGACCAGGGCUACACACGUGCUACAAUGGCGCAUACAAAGAGAAGCGACCUCGCGAGAGCAAGCGGACCUCAUAAAGUGCGUCGUAGUCCGGAUUGGAGUCUGCAACUCGACUCCAUGAAGUCGGAAUCGCUAGUAAUCGUGGAUCAGAAUGCCACGGUGAAUACGUUCCCGGGCCUUGUACACACCGCCCGUCACACCAUGGGAGUGGGUUGCAAAAGAAGUAGGUAGCUUAACCUUCGGGAGGGCGCUUACCACUUUGUGAUUCAUGACUGGGGUGAAGUCGUAACAAGGUA
RNAcentral lists this ribosomal RNA (1500 nucleotides) under metagenome. RNAcentral's name for it is "bacterial SSU rRNA". It matches the Rfam family "Bacterial small subunit ribosomal RNA". The record is from RNAcentral.